This 258-nucleotide long non-coding RNA is filed under the name Pelobates cultripes (western spadefoot toad). Lineage: Eukaryota; Metazoa; Chordata; Amphibia; Anura; Pelobatidae. The record is from RNAcentral.
GUGUGUGUGUGUGUGUCUGUGAGUAUGUGUCAGUGUGUGUCUGUGAGUGUGUGUCAGUGAGUGUGUGUGUGUCUGUGAGUAUGUGUCAGUGUGUGUCUGUGAGUGUGUGUCAGUGAGUGUGUGUGUGUCAGUGUGUGUGUGUGUCUGUGAGUGUGUCAGUGUGUGUCUGUGAGCGUGUGUCUGUGAGUGUGUGUCAGUGAGUGUGUCAGUGUGUGUCUGUGAGUGUGUGUGUGUGUGGUGUGUCAGUGUGUGUCUGUG